CGUAGGGUGCGAGCGUUGUCCGGAAUUAUUGGGCGUAAAGGGCUCGUAGGCGGUUUGUCGCGUCGGGAGUGAAAACGCCGUGCUUAACACGGCGCUUGCUUUCGAUACGGGCAGACUAGAGGUAUUCAGGGGAGAACGGAAUUCCUGGUGUAGCGGUGAAAUGCGCAGAUAUCAGGAGGAACACCGGUGGCGAAGGCGGUUCUCUGGGAAUGACCUGACGCUGAGGAGCGAAAGUGUGGGGAGCGAACAGGAUU
Molecule: ribosomal RNA, 254 nt
Filed under: uncultured bacterium
Lineage: Bacteria
Description: partial 16S ribosomal RNA
Rfam family: Bacterial small subunit ribosomal RNA
Source: RNAcentral